Molecule: transfer RNA, 76 nt
Filed under: Rhizobiaceae bacterium
Lineage: Bacteria; Pseudomonadati; Pseudomonadota; Alphaproteobacteria; Hyphomicrobiales; Rhizobiaceae
Also listed under: 1 other name
Description: tRNA-Phe
Rfam family: tRNA
About the family: Transfer RNA (tRNA) molecules are approximately 80 nucleotides in length.
Source: RNAcentral
UCCGAUUUAGCUCAGCAGGUAGAGCGGCAGAUUGAAGAUCUGCGCGUCGCAGGUUCGAUCCCUGCAGUCGGAACCA